GCGGUGGAGCAUGUGGUUUAAUUCGAAGCAACGCGAAGAACCUACCAGGCCUUGACAUGCAGAGAACUUUCCAGAGAUGGAUUGGUGCCUUCGGGAACUCUGACACAGGUGCUGCAUGGCUGUCGUCAGCUCGUGUCGUGAGAUGUUGGGUUAAGUCCCGUAACGAGCGCAACCCUUGUCCUUAGUUACCAGCACGUUAUGGUGGGCACUCUAAGGAGACUGCCGGUGACAAACCGGAGGAAGGUGGGGAUGACGUCAAGUCAUCAUGACCCUUACGGCCUGGGCUACACACGUGCUACAAUGGUCGGUACAAAGGGUUGCCAAGCCGCGAGGUGGAGCUAAUCCCAUAAAACCGAUCGUAGUCCGGAUCGCAGUCUGCAACUCGACUGCGUGAAGUCGGAAUCGCUAGUAAUCGUGAAUCAGAAUGUCACGGUGAAUACGUUCCCGGGCCUU
RNAcentral lists this ribosomal RNA (453 nucleotides) under uncultured Pseudomonas sp. RNAcentral describes it as "bacterial SSU rRNA". It matches the Rfam family "Bacterial small subunit ribosomal RNA", at positions 929 to 1382 of the family's 1533-position model. Lineage: Bacteria; Pseudomonadati; Pseudomonadota; Gammaproteobacteria; Pseudomonadales; Pseudomonadaceae. The record is from RNAcentral.